This 148-nucleotide small RNA is filed under the name Pongo abelii (Sumatran orangutan). RNAcentral describes it as "Metazoan signal recognition particle RNA (ENSPPYG00000035404.1)". The record is from Rfam by way of RNAcentral. Lineage: Eukaryota; Metazoa; Chordata; Mammalia; Primates; Hominidae.
GCUGGGCGUGGUGGGGGGCACCUGUAAUCCCAGCUACUUGGGAGGCUGAGGCAGGAGAAUCGCUUGAACCCAGGGGGCAUAGGUUGCAGUGGGCCAAAAUUGUGCCACUGCACCCCAGCCUGGGUAAAAGAGCGAGACGCUGUCUCAA